Molecule: ribosomal RNA, 450 nt
Filed under: uncultured bacterium
Lineage: Bacteria
Description: bacterial SSU rRNA
Rfam family: Bacterial small subunit ribosomal RNA
Source: RNAcentral
UACCAGACUCCUACGGGAGGCAGCAGUCGGGAAUAUUGCGCAAUGGAGGAAACUCUGACGCAGUGACGCCGCGUAUAGGAAGAAGGUUUUCGGAUUGUAAACUAUUGUCGUUAGGGAAGAUAAAAGACUGUACCUAAGGAGGAAGCCCCGGCUAACUACGUGCCAGCAGCCGCGGUAAUACGUAGGGGGCAAGCGUUAUCCGGAUUUACUGGGUGUAAAGGGAGCGUAGGUGGCAUGGUAAGCCAGAAGUGAAAACCCAGGGCUCAACUCUGCGGAUUGCUUUUGGAACUAUCAAGCUAGAGUGCUGGAGGGGUAAGCGGAAUUCCUAGUGUAGCGGUGAAAUGCGUAGAUAUUAGGAGGAACACCGGUGGCGAAGGCGGCUUACUGGACAGAAACUGACACUGAGGCUCGAAAGCGUGGGGAGCAAACAGGAUUAGAUACCCGAGUAAC